AUACGGAAGGUGCAAGCGUUUAAUCGGAAUCACUGGGCGUAAAGCGCUUCGUAGGUGGCUUUGUAAGUCAGGUGUGAAAGCCCCACGGCUCAACCGUGGAAUUGCACUUGAUACUGCAUUGCUUGAGUUCGGGAGAGGGUAGUGGAAUUCCAGGUGUAGGAGUGAAAUCCGUAGAGAUCUGGAGGAACACCAGUGGCGAAGGCGACUACCUGGACCGAUACUGACACUGAGGAGCGAAAGCGUGGGGAGC
RNAcentral lists this ribosomal RNA (250 nucleotides) under uncultured bacterium. Its description in RNAcentral is "partial 16S ribosomal RNA". It matches the Rfam family "Bacterial small subunit ribosomal RNA", at positions 523 to 769 of the family's 1533-position model. The record is from RNAcentral.